AUGAGCACCGCAGUUUAAAUCAUCUCACAAUAGAUUCACGAAACAAGUGGAAAACUCGAGAAAUAAAACUGCUUUUAAUGAAGACUGUGAGAAAGUUAAACUUUAUAAACCGCGUUAUGAGACGAGAUGAUGAGAGACUGAAUCUUUCCCCUCAGAGGAACAUUUAUUUCUUUGUUCUUUAAUGUAAAUUUCUCCUCGACCGUUCUCCAGACGUGGACAACUAUUCUGAAGACAAUGACAGUUAUUCUUCAGAGCAGGAGGUCAGUGAUGAUGCCGUUCAGGGUCAGUGGAUAUGAACAGAAGUUCAGAUGCGUCUAUAGCGCUUCACUCUACAGCUGUUGUAAGUCCACAUUUUUGAUUAUGACACAUGUAUAAAUGUGACUAUUACACUUUACUAAUAGUACAGAAACACAACAUAUAGAUAUAAAUGACACAAUGAUUAUGAUCACUGAACUGAAUCCACUGUACUGUGAUUCUCUGUCACACAUCAGUUCACAUGUGUUAUCGUCACCGUGUAUCUGAUGUGUCUUAAGUGGUCGUUGUCACGGCUACAUGUCUGUUUCUGUGGCUGUGUGCUAGUGUUUGUUUGUGUGUGCAGGAGCAGACGGCCGGGGGGGAUGUCACAUGUGACGGGGAUGUGAACGCAGACAAAUCAGCAGCAAACAUCGGCAAACUCUGCAAGGCCGAGUCUCAUGUUGUGUUCACACCAAACGCGAAUGACGCGUAUAAACCGCGCUAUUCGCGCGUAGUUGGACGCUUGAACAUUUUAAGUUUAUACGCUUUAUUCGCGCGUCAAAUUCGCGUCAUUCGCGCGUCAAAUUCGCUCCAUUCGCGCGUCAAAUUCGCGUCAUGGGAGGGCUUCUGGCUGGCGGCUUCAGUCUCAUUUCGAAAUGGCGGACAUGGAUUUUGUUGAGAGGGUAGCUGCGCUUUAUGUGCUAUGGACGGCUGAAAAACGGCAUAAACUCGUUCGGCACCGCGUCUGGGUCCAUCCGAUCCUUCGGAGGCGCACCCAGCUUGGUGAGUUUCACCAACUCCUUCAGGAGCUGCGCCUGGAUGACGGCCGCUUUCAGCGGUACUUCCGGCUGAGCACGUCCCAGUUUGAAGACCUGUUGUCCCGUGUCGGUGGGAGGAUUUCCCUCCAGGACACCAACUACCGGCGCUGUAUUCCACCUGCAGAGCGCCUAUCAAUCUGUCUCCGAUAUCUUGCAACUGGAGACUCAUUCCGGACCAUCGCCAGCAGCUUCCGUGUUGGUGUCUCCACAGUCUGCAUGAUUGUCCCAGACGUGGCGACUGCGAUCUGGGACUGCUUAGUGGAGGAGUUCAUGGCUGUGCCCUCCACAGAUGAAUGGAGGUCCAUUGCAGAGGGUUUUGAGGACAGGUGGAACUUCCCGCUUUGCUGUGGAGCACUGGACGGCAAGCACGUCCUGAUAAAGGCACCCCCCAAAACAGGAUCCCAGUUCUUCAACUACAAGGGAACUUUUUCUCUUGUUCUCCUUGCUGUUGUGGAUGCAAGGUACUGUUUUCGGGUGAUUGAUGUCGGGGGAUAUGGCCGGACGAGCGAUGGUGGGACUCUAUCCAACUCAGCCUUUGGCCAGGCACUCCGUGGUGGCACCCUCCAUCUGCCACCUGACCGCCCUCUCCCAGGAGCUGACCACAGAGGACCUCAGCCCCAUGUCUUUGUUGCAGAUGAGGCCUUUCCCCUCAGGAAAAACCUCAUGAGGCCAUUUCCUGGACGCACCCUUCCUCGAGAGAGACGGGUCUUUAAUUACCGUCUCUCCAGAGCCCGGUUGGUGGUGGAGAAUGCUUUCGGGAUCCUGUCCUCACAGUGGAGGAUGUAUCGCCGCCUCAUAGAGGUUCAGCCUGCUGUUUUGGAGAGGUGUGUGAAGGCAACGUGUGUCCUCCACAACUUUCUUAGGAGAUCUGAAGAGGCAACUGCUGUGAGGGUGGCGGUGCAAGGUGCAGAGGAGUCCCUGCAGAGUCUCGGUCGGGUUGCAGCCAAUAAUUCUUCCAGAGAGGCCAUCCGGGUCAGGGACAGUUUCAUGGCUCACUUUUCUGCCGAGGGAGCAGUCCCGUGGCAGCCGACUGAAUAGUUUUUGUUCAUUACAUACUGUGCUAUUUAUGUCCUUUAUGUUUAGCUCUGAUAAUUAUUCCCAUCCUUUUGUUUUUCUUUUGAUUUCCACACUUUAAAUAUUAGAUUAGAUUAGAUUAGAUUAGAUUCAACUUUAUUGUCAUUACACAUAUACAAGUACAGUGUAACGAAAUGUAGUUUAGGUCUAACCAGAAGUGCAAUUAGCAAGUGCAGAUAUACAGUUUCUGCUUGACCUUAGUGCUGCUUUCGAUACUGUAGACCAUAAAAUACUACUAGAUCCUUUACACAGUUAUAUCGGUAUUCAGGGACAGGCACUGCAAUGGUUCAGAUCUUACUUAACAGACCGAUAUCAAUACGUCCAUUUAAAUGGGAAAUCAUCAAAUCUUACGCAAGUAAAUUACGGAUUACCUCAGGGAUCGGUCUUAGGACCCUUGCUUUUCUCCAUAUACAUGCUGCCCCUCGGCAACAUUAUUAAAAAACAUGGAAUUAGCUUCCACUGUUAUGCAGAUGAUACUCAGCUAUAUAUCUCAUCAAGACCAGAUGAUUCCUUUAAGCUAUCCAAACUGGCAGAGUGCAUCGAGGACAUAAAACAUUGGAUGACUAGUAAUUUCCUCCUUUUAAACUCUAGCAAAACAGAAAUAUUACUUAUAGCACCAAAAUCAAGUAAACAGAAUAUCUCCGACUACAGCCUGCAAAUUGAAAGCUGCACUGUUACUCCAACAAAUACAGUUAAAGACCUAGGCGUUAUAUUAGAUGACAACCUGUCUUUUAAAAAUCACAUCUCAAAUAUCACAAAAACAGCCUUCUUCCACCUUAGAAAUGUUGCCAAAUUACGAAAUAGUUUGUGUUGCAGACGCA
Molecule: RNA transcript, 2947 nt
Organism: Triplophysa dalaica
Lineage: Eukaryota; Metazoa; Chordata; Actinopteri; Cypriniformes; Nemacheilidae
Exons: 5
Source: RefSeq, a predicted model, not a curated record